Molecule: ribosomal RNA, 608 nt
Filed under: uncultured Gammaproteobacteria bacterium
Lineage: Bacteria; Pseudomonadati; Pseudomonadota; Gammaproteobacteria
Description: bacterial SSU rRNA
Rfam family: Bacterial small subunit ribosomal RNA
Source: RNAcentral
GAAACUUACGCUAAUACCGCAUACGACCUACGGGUGAAAGCAGGGGAUCUUCGGACCUUGCGCGAUUGAAUGAGCCGAUGUCGGAUUAGCUAGUUGGCGGGGUAAAGGCCCACCAAGGCGACGAUCCGUAGCUGGUCUGAGAGGAUGAUCAGCCACACUGGAACUGAGACACGGUCCAGACUCCUACGGGAGGCAGCAGUGGGGAAUAUUGGACAAUGGGCGCAAGCCUGAUCCAGCCAUACCGCGUGGGUGAAGAAGGCCUUCGGGUUGUAAAGCCCUUUUGUUGGGAAAGAAAUCCAGCUGGCUAAUACCCGGUUGGGAUGACGGUACCCAAAGAAUAAGCACCGGCUAACUUCGUGCCAGCAGCCGCGGUAAUACGAAGGGUGCAAGCGUUACUCGGAAUUACUGGGCGUAAAGCGUGCGUAGGUGGUCGUUUAAGUCCGUUGUGAAAGCCCUGGGCUCAACCUGGGAACUGCAGUGGAUACUGGACGACUAGAGUGUGGUAGAGGGUAGCGGAAUUCCUGGUGUAGCAGUGAAAUGCGUAGAGAUCAGGAGGAACAUCCAUGGCGAAGGCAGCUACCUGGACCAACACUGACACUGAGGCACGA